RNAcentral lists this unclassified non-coding RNA (850 nucleotides) under Gigantopelta aegis. RNAcentral's name for it is "probable ribosome biogenesis protein RLP24, transcript variant X1". Lineage: Eukaryota; Metazoa; Mollusca; Gastropoda; Neomphalida; Peltospiridae. The record is from RNAcentral.
AUGCAUCACUAGUAUCAGUCUGGUCCUUUUUAAACAACAUGGUUGAACACGAGGGAUAGUAGCGUAAACAGCCACAAUGCGUAUCGAAAAGUGUUACUUUUGUUCGUCAAACAUAUACCCAGGCCAUGGUAUUCAAUUUGUAAGAAACGACUCCAAGAUCUUUCGGUUUUGCCGAUCUAAAUGCCACAGAGCAUUUAAAAAGAAGAGGAAUCCGAGAAAGUCGAGAUGGACAAAAGCUUUCAGGAAAGCUGCAGGGAAAGAUCUUGCUGUGGACCCCUCGUUUGAGUUCGAGAAGCGGAGAAAUGUUCCUGUCAAAUACGACAGACAGCUGUGGAACACGACAAUGAAAGCAAUUGAGAGAAUUGAAGAAAUUCGCACCAAGAGACAAAAUCAGUUUAUAAAGAACAGAUUACAGAAAGGAAAGCAGUUGCGUAAAGAGGCUGACAUCAAAGAAGUGGAAAAGAACAUUCAUUUGAUUCGGGCACCAGGAGCGACCAAGUCUGUGAGGAUGGAGAAGAAGUUGGUGGAGGUUGUGGUGGAACAGGACGAUGACGAUAUGGAAGAGAACUAAACAUCUGACAGAGAACUAAACAUCUGACAGAGAACUGAACAUCUGACAGAACUAAACAUCUGACAGAACGAAACAUCUUACAGAGAACUGAACAUCUCACGGAGAACUUACUCAAUGGUCACAUAGAGAGCUAAAUACAUACCAAGGAUGUGGUUAUGUAUUUCUACUUCAGGUCAAGGUUCCUAGAUCUAUGUGCACUCAAAAGACAACAUGACAUUACAAAGUUUGAGAACUUAAUAAGAUAUUUAAAAGUGAUCAAAUAAAGGAAAUCUCACAUUA